GUUGAACGCUGGCGGAAUGCUUUACACAUGCAAGUCGAACGGCAGCACGGACUUCGGUCUGGUGGCGAGUGGCAAACGGGUGAGUAAUGUAUCGGAACGUGCCCAGUCGUGGGGGAUAACGUAGUGAAAAUUACGCUAAUACCGCAUACGAUCUAUGGAUGAAAGCGGGGGAUCGCAAGACCUCGCGCGAUUGGAGCGGCCGAUAUCAGAUUAGGUAGUUGGUGGGGUAAAGGCCCACCAAGCCAACGAUCUGUAGCUGGUCUGAGAGGACGACCAGCCACACUGGAACUGAGACACGGUCCUGACUCCUACGGGAGGCAGCAGUGGGGAAUUUUGGACAAUGGGCGAAAGCCUGAUCCAGCCAUUCCGCGUGCAGGAUGAAGGCCCUCGGGUUGUAAACUGCUUUUGUACAGAACGAAAAGGUUUCUACUAAUACUAGGAGCUCAUGACGGUACUGUAAGGAUAAGCACCGGCUAACUACGUGCCAGCCGCCGCCGUAA
RNAcentral lists this ribosomal RNA (500 nucleotides) under uncultured bacterium. Its description in RNAcentral is "partial 16S ribosomal RNA". It matches the Rfam family "Bacterial small subunit ribosomal RNA", at positions 28 to 523 of the family's 1533-position model. The record is from RNAcentral.